AGCGAACGUUAGCGGCGCGCCUAACACAUGCAAGUCGCACGAGAAAGGGAGCAAUCCCCGGUACAGUGGCGCACGGGUGAGUAACACGUAGAUGACCUUCCCUGGAGUGGUGGAUAACCUGCCGAAAGGCGGGCUAAUACAGCAUGGGACCACAUGGUUUUGACCGAGUGGUGAAAGCGGGCCUCUGUUCACAAGCUCGCGCUCUGGGAUGGGUCUGCGUCCCAUCAGCUAGUUGGUGAGGUAAUGGCUCACCAAGGCAUCGACGGGUAGCUGGUCUGAGAGGAUGACCAGCCACACUGGAACUGAGACACGGUCCAGACUCCUACGGGAGGCAGCAGGUGGGGAAUCUUGCGCAAUGGGCGAAAGCCUGACGCAGCGACGCCGCGUGGGUGAUGAAGGCCUUC
Molecule: ribosomal RNA, 404 nt
Filed under: uncultured bacterium
Lineage: Bacteria
Description: bacterial SSU rRNA
Rfam family: Bacterial small subunit ribosomal RNA
Source: RNAcentral